RNAcentral lists this ribosomal RNA (699 nucleotides) under uncultured bacterium. RNAcentral describes it as "bacterial SSU rRNA". It matches the Rfam family "Bacterial small subunit ribosomal RNA", at positions 8 to 683 of the family's 1533-position model. The record is from RNAcentral.
AUAGUUUGAUCCUGGUUCAAAGCGAACCGCUGGCGGCUAUGUUUAACACUUGCCCGUCCAGCGAGAAAAUGGAUUCGGCCACUGAGUACAGCGGCGGACGGGUGAGUAAUACAUGGAUAAUCUGCCUUUAGGACUGGGACAACCCUGGGAAACUAGGGCUAUUACCGGAUAAGACCACUAAAUCUGCGGAUUCAGUGGUAAAAGGUGGCUUUCGGGAUAUCACCUAGAGAUGAGUCCAUGUCCCAUCAGGGUGUUGGUGAGGUAACUGCCCACCAAGCCUAAUGACGGGUAGCCGGCCUUAGCGGGCGAGCGGAUACACAGUGACCGACACACUCCCCCGACUCCUACGGGAGGCAGCAGUGGGCAAUAUUGGACAAUGGGCGCAAGCCUGAUCCACAAGUACCGCGUGAGGGAUGAAGGCCCUACGUUCCCAAACCUCUAUCAAUUGGAACGAUGGGUUUGCAGGUUAAUACCCUGCUAACUUGACGGUACCUUCAAAGGAAGCCCUGGCUAACUCCGUGCCACCAGCCGCGGUAAUACGGAUGGGGCAAGCGUUGCUCGAAUUUACUGGGCGUUAAGGGUGCGCACGUCGCUUUCUAAGUUAAAUGUGAAAGCUAAGGCCUCAACCCUGGAGACUGCAUAUAAUACUGCCGAUCUUGAAUACAGGAAAGGGUGCCCAGCAUUCCCGGUGUAACGGUU